RNAcentral lists this ribosomal RNA (1305 nucleotides) under Triticum aestivum (bread wheat). RNAcentral's name for it is "partial small subunit ribosomal RNA". The record is from RNAcentral. Lineage: Eukaryota; Viridiplantae; Streptophyta; Magnoliopsida; Poales; Poaceae.
AUGAACGUGGAAUUAACAAAACCAUACACCGCCGAUGAGGUGAGAUUGGCGUUGUUUCAAAUGGCACCGUAAAAAGCUCCUGGGGUGGACGGCUUUACUGCUGGAUUCUACCAACGACACUGGGAUUUGUUGGAUGAGGCAGUGACCCAGGCAAUCUUGGACUUCUUAAAUGGAGGUGAAUUACCCUCUGGUUUGAAUGAUACAUCCAUUACUCUUAUACCCAAGGUCAGACACCCCCAAAUGAUCUCUCACUAUUGCCCCAUUGUGCCAUGUCUGGUUUUGUAUAAGAUAGCAGCCAAGGCUAUCACCAAUCGCAUGAGGGGCAUCAUGGAUGGCGUUAUUAGUGAGAAGCAAAGUUUUGUGCCUGGCCGACUCAUUUCAGACAACGUCUUAGUUGCAUAUGAAAGUGUGCAUACAAUGAAGAGAAGGAAAAAAGGCAAGAAUUUUUCUUGUGCGGUCAAGCUCGAUAUGAUGAAGGCUUACGACCGUGUCGAGUGGCACUACCUUGAAGCAAUAUUGACCAGGUUAGGUUUCAAUAUUUCAUUUAUCAGGCUGAUUAUGAAAUGUGUAUCUUCUGUCCGGUUCUUCGUCCGGGUUAAUGGCGACCUACUUCCAUAUUUUACGCCUUCUAGGGGGUUCCGUCAAGGAGACCCGGUUUCGCCGUACUUAUUUCUUCUCUAUGCAGAAGGAUUUUCCUCAUUGCUUAAAUAUUACUAUGGUGGAUUGGUUGAUAGGGGCUUGAUGGUGAGCUACAGAUCACCUUGGGUGACCCAUCUAUUAUUUGCUGACAAUAGCUUGAUUUUCAUUAAUGCAAGCAACCCAAGUGCACUUCGUCUGAAUGACAUUUUGUCAAUUUAUGGUGAUGCCUCAGGUCAGUGUGUAAACCGUGAAAAAAGUUCUAUCUAUUUCAGUACUAACACACCUGAUUCUUUGAGGCAACUUCUGAAGGCAACAUUGAACAUCCAAGUUGAAGCUUUCAGUGCAAAAUAUCUUGGACUCCCAACUGAUGUGGGUUGCAUCACAAGUGGCACGUUUGAACACAUCAGUGAAAGAGCCCGUGGAAAAAUUCAAGGAUGGUCAGAAAAAUUACUAGCUUGUGCUGGCUGUGAGCUUGCUGAAUCGGUGUUUUAGGCUAUCCCCACCUAUCCAAUGAGUACAUUCCUGUUGACAAAGAAAGUUUGCAAGAGUUUAACUUCUCCUAUGGCGAAAUAUUUUUGGAGCAGUUCUCUAGAUAAAAACUCUAUGCAUUGGGUGUCUUGGAAAGAGCUGGCGACACCUAAGUGCAAUGGAGGGAUGGGGUUCUGA